Molecule: ribosomal RNA, 253 nt
Filed under: uncultured bacterium
Lineage: Bacteria
Description: partial 16S ribosomal RNA
Rfam family: Bacterial small subunit ribosomal RNA
Source: RNAcentral
UACGGAGGAGGCAAGCGUUGUCCGGAAUUAUUGGGCGUAAAGCGUCCGCAGGUGGCACUUCAAGUCUGUCGUCAAAGACUGGGGCUUAACCCUGGAAAGGCGGUGGAAACUGAAGCGCUAGAGUGCGGUAGGGGUAGAGGGAAUUCCCGGUGUAGCGGUGAAAUGCGUAGAGAUCGGGAAGAACAUCGGUGGCGAAAGCGCUCUACUGGACCGCAACUGACACUCAGGGACGAAAGCUAGGGGAGCGAAUGGG